UAGGUACUCCCUCCGUCCGGAAAUACUUGUCAGAGAAAUGGAUGAAAAUGGGUGUAUCUAGAACUAAAUUGUGUCUAGAUACAUUCAUUCCUUAGACAAGUAUUUUUUGGACGAAGGGAGUACUAA
Triticum aestivum (bread wheat) is the source of this 126-nucleotide non-coding RNA. The record is from Rfam. Lineage: Eukaryota; Viridiplantae; Streptophyta; Magnoliopsida; Poales; Poaceae.